GUGAGGAAUAUUGGACAAUGGGCGCAAGCCUGAUCCAGCCAUGCCGCGUGAGUGAUGAAGGCCUUAGGGUUGUAAAGCUCUUUCACCGAUGAAGAUAAUGACGGUAGUCGGAGAAGAAGCCCCGGCUAACUUCGUGCCAGCAGCCGCGGUAAUACGAAGGGGGCUAGCGUUGUUCGGAAUUACUGGGCGUAAAGCGCACGUAGGCGGGUAUUUAAGUCAGGGGUGAAAUCCCGGAGCUCAACUCAGGAACUGCCUUUGCUAAUGGGUACCUAGAGUAUGGAAGAGGUAAGUGGAAUUCCGAGUGUAGAGGUGAAAUUCGUAGAUAUUCGGAGGAACACCAGUGGCGAAGGCGGCUUACUGGUCCAUUACUGACGCUGAGGUGCGAAAGCGUGGGGAGCAAACAGGAUUAGAAACCCUUGUAGUCC
This 425-nucleotide ribosomal RNA is filed under the name uncultured bacterium. RNAcentral's name for it is "partial 16S ribosomal RNA". It matches the Rfam family "Bacterial small subunit ribosomal RNA", at positions 354 to 796 of the family's 1533-position model. The record is from RNAcentral.